UGAGCUUGAUCCUGGCUCAGGACGAACGCUGGCGGUAUGCCUAAUACAUGCAAGUCGAACGCUGAAGCACUCUGCUUGCAGAGUGUGGAUGAGUGGCGAACGGGUGAGUAACACGUGGGGAACCUGCCCAUAAGAGGGGGAUAACAUCCGGAAACGGGUGCUAAUACCGCAUAGGUGAUCAUAGCGCAUGCUUAGAUCAUUAAAGAUGGCUUCGGCUAUCGCUUAUGGAUGGCCCCGCGGCGUAUUAGCUAGUUGGUGAGGUAAUGGCUCACCAAGGCUGUGAUACGUAGCCGACCUGAGAGGGUGAUCGGCCACACUGGAACUGAGACACGGUCCAGACUCCUACGGGAGGCAGCAGUAGGGAAUCUUCCACAAUGGGCGAAAGCCUGAUGGAGCAAUACCGCGUGAGUGAAGAAGGUCUUCGGAUCGUAAAGCUCUGUUGUUAGAGAAGAACAAGAGGUGUAGUAACUGGCACCUCCUGACGGAUCAACCGAAGCCG
This 499-nucleotide ribosomal RNA is filed under the name Alkalibacterium sp. M16-C24. RNAcentral describes it as "bacterial SSU rRNA". It matches the Rfam family "Bacterial small subunit ribosomal RNA", at positions 1 to 490 of the family's 1533-position model. The record is from RNAcentral. Lineage: Bacteria; Bacillati; Bacillota; Bacilli; Lactobacillales; Carnobacteriaceae.